This 410-nucleotide ribosomal RNA is filed under the name uncultured microorganism. Its description in RNAcentral is "bacterial SSU rRNA". It matches the Rfam family "Archaeal small subunit ribosomal RNA", at positions 330 to 746 of the family's 1478-position model. The record is from RNAcentral.
GCGCAGCAGUCGAGAAUACUUUACAAUGUGCGAAAGCACGAUAAGGGAACUCUGAGUGCCUCCUAAGGAGGCUGUUCAGGUGUCUAAAAGCACCUGAAGGAAGGGCUGGGUAAGACCGGUGCCAGCCGCCGCGGUAACACCGGCAGCCCAAGUGGUAGCCACGUUUAUUGGGUCUAAAGCGUCCGUAGCCGGCUGGGUAAGUUCCUUGGGAAAUUUGGCUGCUUAACAGUCAAGCUUUCAGGGAAUACUGCCCGGCUUGGGACCGGGAGAGGUCAGAGGUACUCCAGGGGUAGGGGUGAAAUCCAUUAAUCCUUGGGGGACCACCGGUAGCGAAGGCGUCUGACCAGACCGGGUCCGACGGUGAGGGACGAAGGCUAGGGGCGCGAACCGGAUUAGAUACCCCCGUAGUU